UUUCUCUUGCUUUCUACGUAGAUAAAGUUAGGUUACACAUUUUUCCGAUUUAUUGUGAUAAAAUUUGAUAAAACCAUGAAUGAAGAAGAUUAAUCGGCAUUAUUGCUUUUAAAUGUUCUCUCCGCGUUUAAAUCAAUAACAGCAAACGUUGUUUUUUGUUAUGUUUUUUUGCGAAAUCAGAGAAUCUGUCGUACUUACGUCAAAAUCAUCUCGCGUAUGACGAGCGACGCCUUCGACAAAUGAGCGGAAUUUAAUUAAGGAUGCUAUCCAAUUUGUGACGCAACCCAUGCAACUGGUAAAUGAUAUCGAUAUACAUACCAACGCGAAUUUGCCACAGGCUGGAAACGGUUGAUGAGAGAUGAAGCACAAACGACAUGCCAAUCUAAUUACUCUCAUCUGCAAAUUAUCAGGUGAACGAUCCGAUCAAAUUAUUCGCACAUUAACCAAUAAUUGAGAGAAGGCGGAACAUUUGAAGAAGUCGCAAGAAGAGAAAUGUGCGAGGAGAUGGACGUCGGCACCUCCGAACGCGAUUCCCAAAGCAAUUCCGGAUCUGACAGUGCCGACUAUCGUUUUGCCGAUCGACGGGAGACACAGGUGGUGGGAGAUCGCGAGCGCAUGUCGCGUCACAUCUCGUCGCGGCUACGUUGUAGAUAGGACAAUCCAAUAUCCCGGAGCCCCAGAAACGCCUCGCAGACUGACGGCUCUACCUGGUUUAGAGGUGCAAGGCUUUGCUACAUCCCUUACGCUGGCUCGCGUGACGUUGUCCUCUAAGCAGUUUCAUCCCCCGUCUGACUUGGUAUCGAUAACACGCGUGUAGCGGAAUAUCGAUCUUUUAUUAUUCGCGAAUAUUCGGCUUUGCGAUUUUCAAACCUCGCGUUUUCAUAUUCAGAUUUACUCGCCAUUUAUAUCGCGACAGUCACGCAAUAUAUUCCACAAUAAUAUGCACGAUCGUGCGCUAUAUAGGUCUUUUUCUAUUUGUCUUUUUUUUUUUGUACAAUUUCAAAUAUCACUUCGGCGAAUGUAAUCUAGAGGGACUGAUGUAGGUUAACCGGUGGAGUAAAGUUCAAGAGCGGUUGAACAUAAAAUUCAAAUCACGGCAUGUGGUAGCCGCAUUUUUACGACGAACAAGUAUAUCCGCUGAGCGUAAGCGACAUUUGCACUUUUUUCGGGUGUAUAUAACGUACUGGUAGCUGCGCGCACACGGGCCACGGCAGGCAUUUCCAUGAAAAUUAAUGUCAAUUCGCGAGGCUCGUUUCGACUAUCCCCCGAUGAGACGCCACGUCCGCUUUAAUUUUCAACGAUACAAGACUGUGCAAUUACGCGAAACGGGAGAGCGAACCCUUUACACAGGCGCUCGCUCCCCCGCCAUCGCCAUUUCCCAUUUUCUCCGCAUCUCAUAAAUUAAGUUAACGUUCUUGACGUUUGACGUUUAAAAAUUUUGUGUUUUAAAAUAUUGGUAAUGCGCGGGAAAUCAAGUACGAAAUACUCGGAGAAAUAUAAUUCGGCUUCAUGUUUAUCUGGCGCAUGCGUUUGAUGUAUGUUAAUUCUCGCGGAAAGAGGUGUUAUCGCGAUCGAUCGAACACGGCUCCUCUCAGUUUUCGCAUUAAAACUAAGAACUGUUCCGAGAAUAAGUACCGCGUUCACGAAAAGACUUUGGCGCCAUAAUUCUUAUCUCGCCCAUAUACAUCGAGAGGAGCAGCGGAAUGUUUGAAGUUCGGCAAAAAAAAAAAAAAAACCGUGAAAAUUCCCAUUUCCCAGGCCGGUGCCAAAUAAUUCUUCUCUCGCGGCGGAGGCUUAUUAUGUCUCCGAAGCAUUUUCCAGCGCGGUUUAUUUGAAUAUCGCUAUGUAACCGAAAUUUGUGGGACGCGCGUCUGCUCAAAGACGUAUAACGUUUCCAAUGCGCGUCUCGCCUCUGCGACGUCUCUCUUUUAUGUUGCGUGUGCGAAACCACGCGUGUAGGUAAGUGCUUUUGCGAUUGUGCGACAUGUUACGCGCGCACACAGGAAAGCUCUCACACAGCUAAAGGGUCGGUUUCCAAGUCAAUAACUUUCACAGACAAAGUCAAAGUUCGCCACGCACAAUGCGCGCGUCACGCAAUCGAUAAAAUCCGUUUUCUCCGGACUAGCCAGUAGUAAAUUUACUAUUAAAUUGUCGUUCUUAUUGAACGCUAAGAAUCUGCGUCGCAAGCAGAUGACGCGAGAGAAAAAAUAGACGGUAAUCAUAAAAUGAAAAUGUCCUAGGGUGUAAUGCAAGUUACUGCAGUCAUAAACAUUAAAUGCAGCAUUUUGAAGUACUUUCUGCUGCCGCGAUAAAGUGUUGUUUGUACGUGAAACGUUAAACAAUGUUCGAGAAUCUUAUCUUGAAAAUUACCUUCCGGCAACGUGGCAUUAUCUCCGACGAAAGUACAAGACUAAGUGUACCGCAUAAAGGAGAGAAGGGCAACGCAAUAAAAAAUGAACGAUAAAGAACGGCAAAAUGGUUGCCGCGCGAGAAGAAAAAGAAGUGCAAAACUCAAUUAUUUCCUUUUGCCGGGGCCGUCGCGAAACAGCGAGAUUUCUAUUGUUCGCCGAAAUAAAGAAAACUUUUGUACACGGCCGUUUCCACGUGCAUGUAAUAUGUCCUAAUGAAACUGUUCUAUUAAUUUAUUCACCAAUUGUAGAAUUUAAAUACUCUGC
Long non-coding RNA from Pseudomyrmex gracilis, 2675 nucleotides. RefSeq lists it as uncharacterized. NCBI's taxonomy places the organism in Eukaryota, Metazoa, Arthropoda, Insecta, Hymenoptera, Formicidae. The record is from RefSeq and is a predicted model, not a curated record. The transcript has 3 exons.